GAGAAAUAAUACAAACAUAGUAUAAAACUUAUGAUAAAUGUAUUAUUACUCUUUUAAUUAUUAACAGGUCAGACGGUUAAUGUAGUACUACGGUCUAGUGAUAUUCCUUUUCACAUGUAAGUGAGAGGUCUUGGGUUCGAUUCUCGCUAAAAGUAAAUUUGAACCACAUUAUUGCUAGCCCAUUGUGAGGCUUAACUCAGUCCUUACGCCCUUACUGUAGCUAUUAUCGUUUGUUCCAAAAAAAAAAAAACAAAAAACGUAACCUAUAUCAACUAUAUGAUAUUGAGAAGCCAAAAAUAUAAAAAUAGUUAUUUGCUUUGAAUGCUCUAUUUAAUUGUUAGCAAACAUGGUGCUCUUUUUUGUGGAUAUUUGUAGCGGUUUGGACGAUGGUAUCAAGUUUUGGACUCCUUCUAGGUGAACGGUGAAAAGCCUAAUCAACUUAACCCCUCCCUUCGAUGAUCCAGAUAGAAAUCAAGGUGUUGUGGUUGGUGAAUGCUGGAAAGAUAGGCUUGAAUAUAGACAAUGGGGUGCACAUUUACCCCAUGUUGCCGGAAAACGAUGGUCGGUGGACAUGGAUGAAGCCAGCACCCGCCUGCAAAAAGCCUAUUCCAGCAUUCUUUCCUAAAGCUCUAAGGAGGACAAGGAAAGCAGUGAUGAAAAAACAAAAAAUUUUCCUCUGCUCUGCUUAUUUCGGUCUUAUUCUAAGUCAUGCUAUUGUAUUCCUGUUGUAUAUGUUAUUAAACCUCUGUGGUUACACCAUCUAAAUGUAACGUUUCAAUGUCAUCAGAAUCAUUUGUUUCAUGA
This is a long non-coding RNA of Pyrus x bretschneideri (Chinese white pear), 804 nucleotides long. RefSeq lists it as uncharacterized. The transcript is spliced from 2 exons. The record is from RefSeq and is a predicted model, not a curated record. Lineage: Eukaryota; Viridiplantae; Streptophyta; Magnoliopsida; Rosales; Rosaceae.